Molecule: ribosomal RNA, 548 nt
Filed under: bacterium LO379
Lineage: Bacteria
Description: bacterial SSU rRNA
Rfam family: Bacterial small subunit ribosomal RNA
Source: RNAcentral
GGGGAAUAUUGGACAAUGGGCGAAAGCCUGAUCCAGCCAUGCCGCGUGUGUGAAGAAGGCCUUUUGGUUGUAAAGCACUUUAAGCGAGGAGGAGGCUACCGAGAUUAAUACUCUUGGAUAGUGGACGUUACUCGCAGAAUAAGCACCGGCUAACUCUGUGCCAGCAGCCGCGGUAAUACAGAGGGUGCGAGCGUUAAUCGGAUUUACUGGGCGUAAAGCGUGCGUAGGCGGCUUUUUAAGUCGGAUGUGAAAUCCCUGAGCUUAACUUAGGAAUUGCAUUCGAUACUGGGAAGCUAGAGUAUGGGAGAGGAUGGUAGAAUUCCAGGUGUAGCGGUGAAAUGCGUAGAGAUCUGGAGGAAUACCGAUGGCGAAGGCAGCCAUCUGGCCUAAUACUGACGCUGAGGUACGAAAGCAUGGGGAGCAAACAGGAUUAGAUACCCUGGUAGUCCAUGCCGUAAACGAUGUCUACUAGCCGUUGGGGCCUUUGAGGCUUUAGUGGCGCAGCUAACGCGAUAAGUAGACCGCCUGGGGAGUACGGUCGCAAGACU